Molecule: RNA transcript, 557 nt
Organism: Mercurialis annua (annual mercury)
Lineage: Eukaryota; Viridiplantae; Streptophyta; Magnoliopsida; Malpighiales; Euphorbiaceae
Exons: 2
Source: RefSeq, a predicted model, not a curated record
AAAAAAAGUUUGCAUCUCUUAUCCAAUUUUGCCUCUUUACCACGGACUGUAGUUGCCUCUUUCUUUUGCAAUGAGGAAUAGCUGUAGCGAUGGCUGUCAUGGUGGUUACCAUGUCGGAUUUGUGUUUUGAAGUGCAAUCUUGGACGCGUAUGUAGAUUUUGAGGGAGUGAAAAUGGACAUUUUGCAACUAUAUUAGAAUAAGUAAACAAAUAAAUAAUGGAGCAAUUCAAAGUGGUUAUCUGCAUGACGACCAAUAAGAACUGGAGCAUCUGGUAGCAUUCAAAGGUCCAUGGCGUUUCUUGAUUGCAAUAAAUAUUCUUUGGCUGAAAGACAUAAACAUUCUAAUAUGUAUUUGGCACAUUGCUAAGUAUACUAAAGUGUAGGAGCUGUUGUUGGUGUAUGCCUGACUCUGUUCAUGAUCUGACUGCACAAUUCGGAAUUAUGCUGUGAACUGUGAUUGUAAUACUAUUAACGAUACACUUUUGUUCACGACGCUGCACAUGAAACCUUGAAUGAUGGAAGUUUCAUAUCGAAACUGUUAAAUAUCUUCUUCUUCU